RNAcentral lists this unclassified non-coding RNA (182 nucleotides) under Glomus sp. RNAcentral's name for it is "partial contains 5.8S ribosomal RNA and internal transcribed spacer 2". The stretch from base 1 to 71 matches the Rfam family "5.8S ribosomal RNA", at positions 84 to 154 of the family's 154-position model. The record is from RNAcentral. Lineage: Eukaryota; Fungi; Glomeromycota; Glomeromycetes; Glomerales; Glomeraceae.
GUGAAUCAUCGAAUUUUUGAACGCAAAUUGCACUUUCUGGUAUUCCGGAAAGUAUGCCUGUUUGAGGGUCAGUUACAUACACAUCGGUGUUGUGGCUUCCUUUCUUGGUGACGCGUCUGCUUUGAGUCGUCUUACCUUCGGAGACGUGACUUAAGGUUUUUGCAUGAUUUUCGCACGUCUUU